UUUAUAAUCUCCAAUAAAAUGUUGAACGGAGAAAAUAGGAGAAUAGAAGAAAAAACAGGAGCUUCUCCCUCUGAACUGUACUGAUGGAGGAAGGCCACUUUGCCUGGAGCAAGGGAAUCUGGCUUCUGGGCUGGAUUUUAGGUCACACACAGAGAGAGAGAGGCAG
Molecule: long non-coding RNA, 166 nt
Organism: Canis lupus familiaris (dog)
Lineage: Eukaryota; Metazoa; Chordata; Mammalia; Carnivora; Canidae
Exons: 3
Source: RefSeq, a predicted model, not a curated record